RNAcentral lists this ribosomal RNA (521 nucleotides) under Kocuria rosea. RNAcentral's name for it is "bacterial SSU rRNA". It matches the Rfam family "Bacterial small subunit ribosomal RNA", at positions 101 to 634 of the family's 1533-position model. The record is from RNAcentral. Lineage: Bacteria; Bacillati; Actinomycetota; Actinomycetes; Micrococcales; Micrococcaceae.
AACGGGUGAGUAAUACGUGAGUAACCUGCCCUUGACUCUGGGAUAAGCCUGGGAAACUGGGUCUAAUACUGGAUACUACCUCUUGCCGCAUGGUGGGUGGUGGAAAGGGUUUUACUGGUUUUGGAUGGGCUCACGGCCUAUCAGCUUGUUGGUGGGGUAAUGGCUCACCAAGGCGACGACGGGUAGCCGGCCUGAGAGGGUGACCGGCCACACUGGGACUGAGACACGGCCCAGACUCCUACGGGAGGCAGCAGUGGGGAAUAUUGCACAAUGGGCGGAAGCCUGAUGCAGCGACGCCGCGUGAGGGAUGACGGCCUUCGGGUUGUAAACCUCUUUCAGUAGGGAAGAAGCGAGAGUGACGGUACCUGCAGAAGAAGCGCCGGCUAACUACGUGCCAGCAGCCGCGGUAAUACGUAGGGCGCAAGCGUUGUCCGGAAUUAUUGGGCGUAAAGAGCUCGUAGGCGGUUUGUCGCGUCUGCUGUGAAAGCCCGGGGCUCAACCCCGGGUCUGCAGUGGGUACG